GGGCCCGCACAAGCAGCGGAGCGUGUGGUUUAAUUCGAGGCUACACGAAGAACCUUACCUGGGUUUGACAUAGGCGUAGUAGGGAACCGAAAGGGGACCGACCUUCGGGAGCGCUUACAGGUGCUGCAUGGCUGUCGUCAGCUCGUGCCGUGAGGUGUUCGGUUAAGUCCGCAAACGAGCGCAACCCCUGGUGCUAGUUACACGUGUCUAGCGCGACUGCCCGUGAGAAACGGGAGGAAGGUGGGGAUGACGUCAAGUCAGCAUGGCCUUUAUAUCCAGGGCUACACACACGCUACAAUGGGCGGUACAAUGGGUCGCGAAAGCGUGAGCUGGAGCCAAUCCUGAAAGCCGUUCGUAGUUCGGAUUGCAGGCUGCAACUCGCCUGCAUGAAGUCGGAGUUGCUAGUAACCGCAGGUCAGCUAUACUGCGGUGAAUACGUUCCCGGGCCUU
This 450-nucleotide ribosomal RNA is filed under the name uncultured bacterium. RNAcentral's name for it is "bacterial SSU rRNA". It matches the Rfam family "Bacterial small subunit ribosomal RNA", at positions 917 to 1382 of the family's 1533-position model. The record is from RNAcentral.